CGCACGCCGCUACAAACUCAAAGGAAGUUGACGGGGCCGCACAAGCGAGGAGCAUGUGGUUAAUUCGAUGAUACGCGAGGAACCUUACCUGGGCUCGAACGUAAGAUGACUGUAGGUGAAAGCUUACAUCUCUUCGGAGCAUUUUACGAGGUGCUGCAUGGUUGUCGUCAGCUCGUGCCGUGAGGUGUCGGGUUAAGUCCCAUAACGAGCGCAACCCCUACCUUUAGUUGCCAUCAGGUAAUGCUGGGGACUCUAAAGGAACUGCCUACGCAAGUAGUGAGGAAGGCGGGGAUGACGUCAAAUCAGCACGGCCCUUACGUCCAGGGCUACACACGUGCUACAAUGGCCGAUACAGAGGGCAGCUACCUGGUGACAGGAUGCAAAUCUCCAAAGUCGGUCUCAGUUCGGAUCGGAGUCUGCAACCCGACUCCGUGAAGUUGGAUUCGCUAGUAAGUCGCGCAUCAGCCAUGGCGCGGUGAAUACGUUCCCGGGCCUU
Molecule: ribosomal RNA, 496 nt
Filed under: uncultured Sphingobacteriales bacterium
Lineage: Bacteria; Pseudomonadati; Bacteroidota; Sphingobacteriia; Sphingobacteriales
Description: bacterial SSU rRNA
Rfam family: Bacterial small subunit ribosomal RNA
Source: RNAcentral